AUGAUAUGCCGGCUCAGUCUCUUGGAGGUGCUCAUAGGGGUAGGGUAUCAGCUGAUGGAGCAGCUUGACCAAGAAGCCCAGUCCAGAGCUCACUUGGAGGAGGAGCUUGUCAAGGAGAGGCAGGCCAACGCUCUUUUGCAGGAGCAGCUUCGAAAGAAGAACGAAGAUGAAGCCGCGUACAAGCAGCAGAUAGCAACUCUCACGCAGAGGAAUCAAGCUGAAGCAAAGAAAAGCAAGAGUGACGUGGCCAAGCUCCAAGACGAGAUAAGGAAGCUCACUGGUGUUCUUAAGGCUAGGCAUGAGGAAGACAAGCUGAGCUGGGAGCGCAUUCAAGGCGUCUUGAAGGCUUGGGAUGAUCGCAAAGCUGCUCGUGAAGCUUCAACUUCUUCUGGUGUCUAUGACAUACUGGAUUACUUCUUGGUCUAUUUUUCAGACAAAGGACCAAGCAAGAAGAAUGCUGGAGCUGGGGUCAAGACUUCUCGAACAGGUGGCAAUUCUCAUGACUUGUAG
RNAcentral lists this ribosomal RNA (510 nucleotides) under Triticum aestivum (bread wheat). RNAcentral's name for it is "partial small subunit ribosomal RNA". Lineage: Eukaryota; Viridiplantae; Streptophyta; Magnoliopsida; Poales; Poaceae. The record is from RNAcentral.